Long non-coding RNA from Vicia villosa (hairy vetch), 316 nucleotides. RefSeq lists it as uncharacterized. Lineage: Eukaryota; Viridiplantae; Streptophyta; Magnoliopsida; Fabales; Fabaceae. The record is from RefSeq and is a predicted model, not a curated record. The transcript is spliced from 3 exons.
CACUCCCCCUCCCCCAUUCAUUUACCCUAACUCAAAUCAAAAACAAGCAAAGGCGAAAAUUUGUGCAAACACACUUCCAAGGCUGCAUCAAGGCUCCAAUCACAUUGCUAUACAACAUUCAAAAGCCCACAAAUCACUCAAUUUGAACAUGUCAGGCAACCAACCAGCACGCAUCAGACAGGGUAGGGAGACCCAGACUGCGUCAGCUACACAGGGAAUGGGUGGCGCUAAGGGAAAAAAGGAGGUGAAGGAGAAGAAGAAGGUUUCGACCGGCUCUACUUCGUGCUCUCGCGGAGUGAAGGAGGUGAAGGAGAAG